GAACCCGCGGGAGCUUCCGGUGCGGGACGGGGGCCAGCCGGGAGCUCGUCGCUGCUGGGUGUGCGUGCGGCUCUCCGCGGAUGGCGACGAGGUGCUGCGGCUGCUCUGUGUGUGUCUCGGCUCGUCUUCUCCCCCGUGCGGAGGACUUCAGGGUUUUCUGUCACUGCCCAGGCCCUCUUACGGGGGGGAGACCACACACUACACUGUAGGAAAAGCAAAUAGAAGCCAUGUUUCGAAGACCCGUAUUACAGGUAUUUCAUCAGUUUGUGAGACGUGAGUCUGAAAUAGCCAGCAGCUUGGUCCUUGAAAGAUCUCUGAACCGUGUGCAGCUGCUUGGGCGAGUGGGUCAGGACCCUGUCAUGAGGCAGGUAGAAGGGAAAAACCCAGUCACGAUAUUUUCUCUAGCGACAAAUGAGAUGUGGCGGUCAGGGGAGAGUGAAACAUACCAAAUGGGUGAUGUCAGUCAAAAGACAACGUGGCACAGAAUAUCAGUAUUCCGACCAGGUCUCAGAGAUGUGGCAUAUCAGUAUGUGAAAAAGGGGUCCCGAAUUUAUGUAGAAGGGAAAGUAGACUAUGGUGAAUACACAGACAAAAAUAAUGUGAGGCGACAAGCAACAACAAUCAUAGCUGGUAAGAAGCUUGUGAUAAUACUAUUCCCUCCUCCCAUCCCCCUUGUUUUAAACCCUUGGCUUGUAAGUGACUUUCAUGGGGGCUUUGAGUGCUGCUGCUGAGAUUGUCAGGCAGCUCACCAUGAGAAGCGGGAGUCUGGUUUGUGAGUUUGCUAGGAGUUUCUGCAUUUGCCUGCCCCUUCAGAAAAUUAUCUCUAUACACAGUUUCAUUUCACAGGUAACUUUGGAGUAAAGCGUCUGUGUCAGUACUUAACUGUUUGAAGUGAGAGAAACUAAUGUCUUUGAGGACAUGGCCUACAUAGGCAGAAGCCUGUGCCGAGAUAGAGUUGCGCUGGCUGCUGUGAGUGGCUUUAGACGUUUAUGCAGGCUUAUUCACAGCCUGCUUGGUCUUAACAUGAUGAUUUUAAGUUCCUGUUGUUUUCGUUAGACAAAAUGCAAAACAAUGUAGAAAAUAGGGACACAAAGCUUAAAGAAGACUAAGUAGAUCUCUCCUAGAGCAGGGUUUUCAAACUUUUAAAAAAAACUCUACAAGAAUUUUGAAACAAACGUAGCCCUUUGUACAUGUCUAAGUCGACAUGAACAUUUUUUUCAAUAUGAAAUUGUUACUCUGAAAUGCGUAAUGGGUGUAAAAACCAUAGCAAUUUGAUCCCGUCAUCCUUCAAAAAAGUACAUGAACGAGCUCUUCAACAUUUGGAAAUUUUAUGUUCUUUCUUUUUCUCUGAACUUGUUUUUCCAUUUUCUCCUAAGAAAUACAUCUUGAUAUAUAUUGUAUGGAUAAAAAUAUUUUAUUACUCAUCCUAUUACAUUCUUAACAAAAACUCAUACAUAAACAGAAAUUUAAAAAUACUUAAAUUCUGUGAUACGAAGCCUAUAAAUGAUAUAUUUCUUCUUGAUUGGGUUAUCAUUAUAGUGGUUUUUAGGACAUAAGCUACUAACGCAAUUUUAAUACAUAAAUUUGAAAACUGAAAUCUUGCUGGAAAUGCAUCUUUUAGUAAGAGAGAUGAUUUUUUUUACCUCGUCAGUAAAUUAUUAAAAAAUAAGAGUUAAACAUUAAUUUUAUUCUUUUGUUUUCUUUUUAUGGAUGUAAAUAAAUACUGAGAAACUUUUUAUAAGUAAAUACAGAGAAAUGAAAGCAAGUAAUGUCUUAGUGUUUAUGAACUUCUGAGAUAUGUCAAAACUGGGUAUCUUAAAAAUUUUUUUAAUUAUGGAAAAUGUCAGACAUACGCAAACAUAGAAGUAAAAAAAAAGAUCUUCUGUCAUUUAGCUUCAACAAUUAUAGACUGAUGGCCAAUAUUAUUUCUUCUAUUUCCACAGCCCGCUUUUCCUCCACUUGAAUUAUUUUCUAGUGAAUUCCAGACAUUAUAUUAUUUCAUCCAUAAAUAUUUUCAGUAGGUAUUUCUGAAAGAUACGGAUUCCUAUUUGAAGCAUAACUAUGGUGCUAUUAUCACACCUAAUCUUAAGAAAUCAUUAAAAAAGUUUUACUAGGCAUCACAGUGUUUUAAGGUUCUUUGAUAGCUUUAUAAGUACAAGUCCAUAUGUUAUAUUACAUUGUUUAUAUGUAUCUUAAGUCUCUUAUUUUGUUUUAAAUAAACAUUUAUUUUCUCAUAGUUGUGGAGGCUAGACCUCUGAGAACUUAAGUCUCUUUUAAUUGACAGAUUUUCCUUUUAUCUUUCCUUUUUACCUCGCUCUGGAGUUCAUGUCUUAACCACUCUACCAUAUUGCUAAAUUAUAACUUGUCAUAAAUAAUAAUUAAAAAAUAUAUUUUCUUACUGGUUUCUUUGAGGCAUAUUGACCUUUGAAGCCAACAUAGUUCUCUGCCCUCAUUAUCAGACCUUAGACGAGGUCCCAGCUAUUUUGAUUUCAUGAUUUUUGGAUGUCUUGACAGUGUUUCACUUCUGCAUGCUCUUCCUUGGGCCGUGUCUCCGGAGAUACCUACCUGUUCAAAAAUUUAUUUAUAGAUCUCUAUAGGACAUACAUCUACACCUGUGAUUUUAGCAGUGGAAACCUGACUUUCUAAUAAAAUAGCUGACAUUUCUAAGUCUAUCAAAUAUGUAUUUAUGAAGCAUUUAACACUUUGACAUUCCACUAUAAACCAAAGUGUGAGUAAACUGCAUUGUAUAGAUUGUUCUGAACCAAGCCAACGGGUAAAUAGAAAUGGUUCAGAUUAUCUGCCAUUUUGUUCUCUUCUUGUCACUUGUAUUCACAGCAUGGGUGAGUUAAUUAAUUGAUUAGUUAACAUAGAUUUAUGGCUAGUAGUAAAGAUGAGUAGAUCUUUAGUGACACUUGAAUUGAAAGAAACAGUUUAAACUUGACUGCUUUUUUUUUUUUUUUCUUGUAGGGGUCCCUGUCUUUAAUAUAAAAGUAACUACCAGUGGAUGGCACUGUUGCCUUUUUACACUGUGGUGUUGCAAUAAUCUGCAAUAACUAUUCUGUAUCAAGAUACUAUGUACUUAGAAGACUAUAGUUAUAAAUAUUGUGAUACCCACUUUUUGAAUAAUUCUAAAGUUAUAAGAAUCUGGAUUUUUUCAAGUUAUGCAGGAAGUACUACUACUUUUCCUUUGUUCGUCCUAAACUAACUCCAUCUGGGACAACAUUUUAAGUGCAGUGUCUGAUGUCCUUGUAUGAAAAUACUCUGUGAUACUGAUUCGUAAAAAUUUUCCCAAGAAUGAGUAUAUAAAUCUCAAUCUCUUUUAAAAUGUAAAAAUAGAAUGUCUUCUGUGUGAGUGUUACAGCCUAUUUAGACAUGAAUCUGUCUCUGUUAAUAGUGCCAUAUACUAGACCCCAUCCUUUCUCUGUACCUCAAGUAAGUGGAAUGCUAUGCCUGGAUCCUCUUCUGUGUGAGGAUGUGCUGCCUGGUUUCAUGGCAUCUAUCAGAGUCUGGCAGGCAUUGAAAUUUAUGACUAGUUCUUUUGUAGGAAGUUAUUGCUGAGCAAUUAGAAUUAUCUUCAGGGAAGGCAAGAAAUACCACACUUCUAACAAGGUCUGAGUUGUUGACACAUAGCUGAAGCCCAACUUUUAGCUCCUUUGGUGCCUGUCAUAUAUGCCUCUCAUGAUGAACAUAGCAGGAGUUAUUUCACAAUUUAGGAAUUUUUCUAGAAUCCUGUUAACAGCACUAACGUAUGGGUGCAUUGUAGGCGAGCAAUUAAAGGAGAUGGAGAAAGAGUUCUGAAAGUAAUAUUUAUGAUUUGGUUUCUUUACAGAUAACAUUAUAUUUCUGAGUGACCAGACCAAAGAGAAGGCAUAGAGUGGACGAUUCUCCUUUGGCCAUUGUUUGACAGCAAGGACUGUGUCUUCUCUGUGUGCCUGCACCUUACCAAAUGUGUGGUACAGAAGAGAUACUGGAUCACCGGUGACAGAUGAAUGAUCCCAGUGGGAUAUUAAGCUUUAGGCCCCAACUGGAAGGGGUUGCUGAACAGCGGUUGGUAUCUGACCUAAACUGCUUCAAGACUAACCUAUCUUCUUCCCCUCUUUUGUUUUUGGACAAAUUUCACUUGUAGCAUUUAUGAAUCAGCAAUAAAGAUCUAAAAAUACA
Molecule: RNA transcript, 4161 nt
Organism: Nyctereutes procyonoides (raccoon dog)
Lineage: Eukaryota; Metazoa; Chordata; Mammalia; Carnivora; Canidae
Gene: SSBP1
Gene name: single stranded DNA binding protein 1
Exons: 7
Source: RefSeq, a predicted model, not a curated record